GACGAACGCUGGCGGCGUGCUUAACACAUGCAAGUCGAACGGAAAGGCCCUGCUUUUGUGGGGUGCUCGAGUGGCGAACGGGUGAGUAACACGUGAGUAACCUGCCCUUGACUUUGGGAUAACUUCAGGAAACUGGGGCUAAUACCGGAUAGGAGCUCCUGAUGCAUGGUGGGGGUUGGAAAGUUUCGGCGGUUGGGGAUGGACUCGCGGCUUAUCAGCUUGUUGGUGGGGUAGUGGCUUACCAAGGCUUUGACGGGUAGCCGGCCUGAGAGGGUGACCGGCCACAUGGGGACUGCGAUACGGCCCAGACUCCUACGGGAGGCAGCAGUGGGGAAUAUUGCACAAUGGGCGGAAGCCUGAUGCAGCAACGCCGCGUGCGGGAUGACGGCCUUCGGGUUGUAAACCGCUUUCGCCUGUGACGAAGCGUGAGUGACGGUAAUGGGUAAAGAAGCACCGGCUAACUACGUG
RNAcentral lists this ribosomal RNA (468 nucleotides) under uncultured bacterium. Its description in RNAcentral is "partial 16S ribosomal RNA". It matches the Rfam family "Bacterial small subunit ribosomal RNA", at positions 28 to 507 of the family's 1533-position model. The record is from RNAcentral.